UACGAAGGGUGCAAGCGUUACUCGGAAUUACUGGGCGUAAAGCGUGCGUAGGCGGUUUGUUAAGUCUGUCGUGAAAGCCCCGGGCUCAGCCUGGGAAUGGCGAUGGAAACUGGCGAGCUAGAGUACGGUAGAGGAGAGUGGAAUUCCCGGUGUAGCAGUGAAAUGCGUAGAGAUCGGGAGGAACAUCAGUUGCGAAGGCGGCUCUCUGGACCAGUACUGACGCUGAGGCACGAAAGCGUGGGGAGCAAACAGG
This 253-nucleotide ribosomal RNA is filed under the name uncultured bacterium. RNAcentral describes it as "partial 16S ribosomal RNA". It matches the Rfam family "Bacterial small subunit ribosomal RNA", at positions 524 to 776 of the family's 1533-position model. The record is from RNAcentral.